Molecule: long non-coding RNA, 1150 nt
Filed under: Sorghum bicolor (sorghum)
Lineage: Eukaryota; Viridiplantae; Streptophyta; Magnoliopsida; Poales; Poaceae
Description: long non-coding RNA (SBIC_LNC012077)
Source: RNAcentral
AGGCUGUGUUGGUUGGUUCCUUGAGAGUGUGGUUGGGCGAAUCCUCGAUUCAGGUUGCCGGUUAAAGACGAUGGUUGGCUUCGAGUUUUAUUUGCCAGGUUGCACUAGUUAUCGCUGCUUGCAGCAAGUUAUCCGGCUGUUCUUCAGCUAGUUAUCGGUGUUCUUCCUACGUCAUGAAGAUCAGGACAACGUGUCGCAUCAUCUGGUAUCAAAGCUUUCGUUACCACGGUAGGAAUUUUUGUCCCUAGCUACAUAUAUAUUUUGCUUCGUCCUAUCCACCAAAAAGCCAGAAAAAUAUAUUGCUUAGACCUUUGUUUCAAUCUAUUAUUUAGUGAGUUCGGUUAAGUCACAGUCCAUUAGAGUCUUUGUUUUAGUUGCUGAUCAUUUAUCCUUCGCGUGUUCUUUGUGCCUCUUUUAUAUCUAAAAAUCCCCACAAAAAUUCUCUAUAGCCUAUAUCAUCCUUUGUGUUAACUUUGAUCCUAUCUAGCUACUGGUUGUUGUUUCAUUUCUAUCUUUAGUUGUGCAAGUAUCAUAAUCUGAUCCCUGUUUUUAGUUAUAUAUAAAAAGAAAAAAGUGUGUCAAAAAAAAGAAAGUGCAAAAAAAAGUGAAGUGAAAAAGAAAAGUUGAGAAAGGUUCAGAGAGAAAGUCUAAAAGAUUAGUUGGUUUAUGUGCACAAGUGCUGAAAGUUUCAUAUCAACUUCUGCAACCAGUUUGCUAUCUUUGUUUGGUGCAAAACUUUGAUUGGGUCUGAUUGCAACACUUGCAUCACAAUCAUACUCCUUGUUUGCAUCAAUUCUGAAAUUUCUUUGCAUGCGUGUGAUCUAUUUAUACACUUCAAAUCUUUUGAUCAGCACUAGGCAGAGAACUUCUUGUUUGGAUCGUUACUUAACUUUACAAAAACUAGAAUUCAAAUUGCAUUCCUUGUGUAUUACUCCCCACCAAGCUCCACAUAAAAACCAUCGUAAUCGGUACUCUCUGUUCUUGUAUUCGCCUCGCCAUCACUUUCAGUUGCCACCACAUAUUUGUUCCUUGUAAUCUACAGUAGAGGAAUUCAUAAGAGCUUCGGUGGUUAGAGAGGUGAGUUGUGAGGGCCACCAAAUUUUCAUAUUCCACAAAUACAAAUUAUUUGUAUUCAGCUAACCUUACAGGA